GAAAUGCGAUAAGUAGUGUGAAUUGCAGAAUUCAGUGAAUCAUCGAAUCUUUGAACGCACAUUGCGCCCCUCGGCAUUCCGUGGGGCAUGCCUGUUCGAGCGUCAUCUACACCCUCAAGCUCUGCUUGGUGUUGGGCGUCUGUCCCGCCUCCGCGCGCGGACUCGCCCCAAAUGCAUUGGCAGCGGUUCCUUGCCCCCCUCUUUGCGCAGCACAUUGCCAUUCGAGGCGGCGGCGGCCCGCGUCGAACAAGCUCAACCCCCCCGUCUUUGACCUCGGAUCAGGUAGGGAUACCCGCUGAACUUAAGC
Molecule: unclassified non-coding RNA, 307 nt
Filed under: plant metagenome
Description: partial contains 5.8S ribosomal RNA, internal transcribed spacer 2, and large subunit ribosomal RNA
Rfam family: 5.8S ribosomal RNA (bases 1-105)
Source: RNAcentral